CAGCAGCCGCGGGAAUACAGAGGGUGCGAGCGUUAAUCGGAUUUACUGGGCGUAAAGCGUGCGUAGGCGGCUUCUUAAGUCGGAUGUGAAAUCCCUGAGCUUAACUUAGGAAUUGCAUUCGAUACUGGGAAGCUAGAGUAUGGUAGAGGAUGGUAGAAUUCCAGGUGUAGCGGUGAAAUGCGUAGAGAUCUGGAGGAAUACCGAUGGCGAAGGCAGCCAUCUGGCCUAAUACUGACGCUGAGGUACGAAAGCAUGGGGAGCAAACAGGAUUAGAUACCCCGGUAGUCCCUGUCUCUUAUAC
This 301-nucleotide ribosomal RNA is filed under the name uncultured bacterium. Its description in RNAcentral is "partial 16S ribosomal RNA". It matches the Rfam family "Bacterial small subunit ribosomal RNA", at positions 509 to 807 of the family's 1533-position model. The record is from RNAcentral.